This 256-nucleotide ribosomal RNA is filed under the name uncultured bacterium. RNAcentral describes it as "partial 16S ribosomal RNA". It matches the Rfam family "Bacterial small subunit ribosomal RNA", at positions 521 to 776 of the family's 1533-position model. The record is from RNAcentral.
UAAUACGGAGGGUGCAAGCGUUAUCCGGAUUUAUUGGGUUUAAAGGGUCCGUAGGCGGACUUAUAAGUCAGUGGUGAAAGCCUGUCGCUUAACGAUAGAACUGCCAUUGAUACUGUAAGUCUUGAGUAUAUUUGAGGUAGCUGGAAUAAGUAGUGUAGCGGUGAAAUGCAUAGAUAUUACUUAGAACACCAAUUGCGAAGGCAGGUUACCAAGAUAUAACUGACGCUGAGGGACGAAAGCGUGGGGAGCGAACAGG